AGCGGCGGACGGGUGAGUAAUGCUUGGGAAUAUGCCUUAUGGUGGGGGACAACAGUUGGAAACGACUGCUAAUACCGCAUAACGUCUACGGACCAAAGGAGGGGAUCUUCGGACCUUUCGCCAUUUGAUUAGCCCAAGUGAGAUUAGCUAGUAGGUGAGGUAAGAGCUCACCUAGGCGACGAUCUCUAGCUGGUUUGAGAGGAUGAUCAGCCACACUGGGACUGAGACACGGCCCAGACUCCUACGGGAGGCAGCAGUGGGGAAUAUUGCACAAUGGGGGAAACCCUGAUGCAGCCAUGCCGCGUGUGUGAAGAAGGCCUUCGGGUUGUAAAGCACUUUCAGUUGUGAGGAAAGGGAUGUAGUUAAUAACUGCAUUCUGUGACGUUAACAACAGAAGAAGCACCGGCUAACUUCGUGCCAGCAGCCGCGGUAAUACGAGGGGUGCAAGCGUUAAUCGGAAUUACUGGGCGUAAAGCGUUCGUAGGCGGUUAUUUAAGCAAGAUGUGAAAGCCCAGGGCUCAACCUUGGAACUGCAUUUUGAACUGGGUAACUAGAGUACUGUAGAGGGUGGUGGAAUUUCCAGUGUAGCGGUGAAAUGCGUAGAGAUUGGAAGGACAUCAGUGGCGACGCGGCAUCUGGACAGAUACUGACGCUGAGGACGGAAGCCUGAGGAGCGAACAGGAUUAGAUACCCUGGUAGUUC
This 702-nucleotide ribosomal RNA is filed under the name uncultured bacterium. Its description in RNAcentral is "bacterial SSU rRNA". It matches the Rfam family "Bacterial small subunit ribosomal RNA", at positions 94 to 796 of the family's 1533-position model. The record is from RNAcentral.